GAUGAACGCUGGCGGCGUGCCUAAUACAUGCAAGUCGAGCGAACGGACGAGAAGCUUGCUUCUCUGAUGUUAGCGGCGGACGGGUGAGUAACACGUGGAUAACCUACCUAUAAGACUGGGAUAACUUCGGGAAACCGGAGCUAAUACCGGAUGAUAUUUUGAACCGCAUGGUUUAAAAGUGAAAGACGGUCUUGCUGUCACUUAUAGAUGGAUCCGCGCUGCAUUAGCUAGUUGGUAAGGUAACGGCUUACCAAGGCAACGAUGCAUAGCCGACCUGAGAGGGUGAUCGGCCACACUGGAACUGAGACACGGUCCAGACUCCUACGGGAGGCAGCAGUAGGGAAUCUUCCGCAAUGGGCGAAAGCCUGACGGAGCAACGCCGCGUGAGUGAUUAAGGUCUUCGGAUCGUAAAACUCUGUUAUUAGGGAAGAACAUAUGUGUAAGUAACUGUGCACAUCUUGACGGUACCUAAUCAGAAAGCCACGGCUAACUACGUG
RNAcentral lists this ribosomal RNA (497 nucleotides) under uncultured bacterium. RNAcentral's name for it is "partial 16S ribosomal RNA". It matches the Rfam family "Bacterial small subunit ribosomal RNA", at positions 28 to 507 of the family's 1533-position model. The record is from RNAcentral.